RNAcentral lists this ribosomal RNA (460 nucleotides) under uncultured bacterium. RNAcentral's name for it is "partial 16S ribosomal RNA". It matches the Rfam family "Bacterial small subunit ribosomal RNA", at positions 338 to 795 of the family's 1533-position model. The record is from RNAcentral.
CCUACGUGCGGCAGCAGUGAGGAAUAUUGGUCAAUGGGCUUACGCCUGAACCAGCCAAGUCGCGUGAGGGAAGACUGCCCUAUGGGUUGUAAACCUCUUUUGUCAGGGAGCAACGCCGGCUACGUGUAGCCGGACUGAGAGUACCUGAAGAAAAAGCAUCGGCUAACUCCGUGCCAGCAGCCGCGGUAAUACGGAGGAUGCGAGCGUUAUCCGGAUUUAUUGGGUUUAAAGGGUGCGUAGGCGGAAUGCCAAGUCAGCGGUAAAAUCGCGGGGCUCAACCUCGCUCCGCCGUUGAACCUGGCGUUCUUGAGUGGGCGAGAAGUAUGCGGAAUGCGUGGUGUAGCGGUGAAAUGCAUAGAUAUCACGCAGAACUCCGAUUGCGAAGGCAGCAUACCGGCGCCCAACUGACGCUGAAGCACGAAAGCGUGGGUAUCGAACAGGAUUAGAUACCCCAGUAGUC